Molecule: ribosomal RNA, 301 nt
Filed under: uncultured bacterium
Lineage: Bacteria
Description: partial 16S ribosomal RNA
Rfam family: Bacterial small subunit ribosomal RNA
Source: RNAcentral
CAGUCGCCGCGGUAAUACGUAGGUGGCAAGCGUUGUCCGGAAUUAUUGGGCGUAAAGGGCUCGCAGGCGGUUUCUUAAGUCUGAUGUGAAAGCCCCCGGCUCAACCGGGGAGGGUCAUUGGAAACUGGGAAACUUGAGUGCAGAGGAGGAGAGUGGAAUUCCACGUGUAGCGGUGAAAUGCGUAGAGAUGUGGAGGAACACCAGUGGCGAAGGCGACUCUCUGGUCUGUAACUGACGCUGAGGAGAGAAAGCGUGGGGAGCGAACAGGAUUAGAUACCCGGGUAGUCCCUGUCUCUUAUAC